GAAGCGUUGUCUCGAUAAGCUCCAGUCUAAUGGUUUAGCUGUUGACUACAUCGUCACCGAUCGCCAUCCGCAGAUUCAGAAGUACCUGAGGGACCGCAAUAUCACUCAGUUCUAUGACGUGUGGCACUUUGAGAAAGGUUUAUCUAAGAAACUUGACAAACUUUCAAAAAUGAAGGACUGUGAGGUGCUGAAAAAAUGGUUGCACAGCAUCAAAAACCAUGUUUACUGGAGUGCGAUUUCCUCUGAGUCUGGGACAGAAAAGGUGGCGAAGUGGAAUUCACUGCAGAACCACAUCCAAAAUGUACAUGUUCAUGAGAACCACCUCUUCCCCAAGUGUGAACACCCAGACAAAGUUUCCAGGGAUCCAAAAAAAUGGAUCCAACCAGGAUCAAUAGCGCUCCAUAAAGUGGAAAAGCUAUUAUACAACAAGAGAGUUCUCA
Long non-coding RNA from Carassius carassius (crucian carp), 440 nucleotides. RefSeq lists it as uncharacterized. The transcript has 3 exons. NCBI's taxonomy places the organism in Eukaryota, Metazoa, Chordata, Actinopteri, Cypriniformes, Cyprinidae. The record is from RefSeq and is a predicted model, not a curated record.